UGGUAAGUAGUUUAAAGAAAACAAAUGACUUCGACUCAUUAGAUUAUGAUAAUCAUACUAACCAA
RNAcentral lists this transfer RNA (65 nucleotides) under Presbytis femoralis (banded leaf monkey). RNAcentral describes it as "tRNA-Arg". It matches the Rfam family "tRNA". Rfam says of the family: Transfer RNA (tRNA) molecules are approximately 80 nucleotides in length. Their secondary structure includes four short double-helical elements and three loops (D, anti-codon, and T loops). RNAcentral also lists the same sequence under 1 other name. The record is from RNAcentral. Lineage: Eukaryota; Metazoa; Chordata; Mammalia; Primates; Cercopithecidae.